GGAUUUGAGAAAAUGGCACUGAAUCCCAAAUGAAAGAGGAUAAAGGAGUUCAUAAAAGAACUAAGAUUACUCAAUGACUCCAUUUCAGCAGUCAUUGAUCUGGUUGAUUUUGUCCUGGAAAUCCCCCUGCUUUGUCAUGUGCUGGGCUGCUGUUUGCAAGGGCUGCACCUGUGGCAUAUGCUAGGGAUUGAAUUGCCGGCCUCCACCACAGCCACAGCAACACGGGAUCCGAGCCACGUCUGAGAUCUACACCACAGCUCAUGGCAACACCAGAUCCUUAACCCACUGAGCGAGGCCAGAGAUUGAACCUGCGUUCUCAUGGAUACUAGUCAGUAUCCACUGAGCCACGAUGGGAACUCAUUACUCCUUAAUUGUAACCAAUUUUGAAAGUUUCAUGAGAGAGGAACUUUGUUCUUGUUAUCACCGCUGUGAGCAGACAUAUGUGUUAAAAUGUGGGGUAAAAUGGAGUGUCUCUUGGAACCCUCAACGUAUUAUGUCCUUGACAAAACCUAACCAAGCCUGAGAACACCUACCAAGACAUUUCAUUAAGAAUACUCAAGCAAUAAGUACAUUUUAAGUAUUGGGAUGAAAUGAGAUAUUUAUAAAUAAUGAGAUCAUUUUUUAAUAGGAGCAGUAAUCUGUGUUUUUAGUUGUGCUAUUCAAAAAUGUAACAGUAUUAUGCUCUUCACUCUUUAAUUUUCUGAUUAUUGAGUUAUUGUUUUCAUAGAAGUAAAUGAUACAGCGUUCUCAGCAACAACAAAAAAGUUUCCCAUGCUAUUGAAUGGACAGAGAGACUUUUACUAGAAUCCCUGAUGUGAUAAGCAAAAGGCUCAAACUAAUGAGGGGUAAAUUUUAUCUUCAUAAACAUUUUCAUGAUUAUGAUUGAAUUGUAGAUGUUGGAAGAGAAGUUUGGAGACAGAUCAGAGAUCUCUCUGACUGGAUUAGAGUCUACAAAAAAAA
This 960-nucleotide long non-coding RNA is filed under the name Sus scrofa (pig). RNAcentral's name for it is "lncRNA (ENSSSCG00015053691.1)". Lineage: Eukaryota; Metazoa; Chordata; Mammalia; Artiodactyla; Suidae. The record is from RNAcentral.